Molecule: ribosomal RNA, 688 nt
Filed under: uncultured bacterium
Lineage: Bacteria
Description: bacterial SSU rRNA
Rfam family: Bacterial small subunit ribosomal RNA
Source: RNAcentral
GAACGGCAGCGGGGGAGCUUGCUCCUGCCGGUGAGUGGCGAACGGGUGAGUAAUGCAUCGGAACGUGUCCUGUUGUGGGGGAUAACUGAUCGAAAGAUCAGCUAAUACCGCAUGAGACCUGAGGGUGAAAGCGGGGGAUCGCAAGACCUCGCGCGACAGGAGCGGCCGAUGUCUGAUUAGCUAGUUGGUGAGAUAAAAGCUUACCAAGGCGACGAUCAGUAGCUGGUCUGAGAGGAUGAUCAGCCACAUUGGGACUGAGACACGGCCCAGACUCCUACGGGAGGCAGCAGUGGGGAAUUUUGGACAAUGGGGGAAACCCUGAUCCAGCCAUGCCGCGUGCGGGAUGAAGGCCUUCGGGUUGUAAACCGCUUUUGUCAGAGACGAAAAGGGACGUACGAAUAAUACGUUCCGCUGACGGUAUCUGAAGAAUAAGCACCGGCUAACUACGUGCCAGCAGCCGCGGUAAUACGUAGGGUGCAAGCGUUAAUCGGAAUUACUGGGCGUAAAGGGUGCGCAGGCGGCUGUGCAGGACAGAUGUGAAAUCCCCGGGCUUAACCUGGGAACUGCAUUUGUGACUGCACGGCUAGAGUUUGUCAGAGGAGGGUGGAAUUCCGCGUGUAGCAGUGAAAUGCGUAGAUAUGCGGAAGAACACCAAUGGCGAAGGCAGCCCUCUGGGACAUGACUGACG